RNAcentral lists this ribosomal RNA (404 nucleotides) under uncultured bacterium. RNAcentral's name for it is "bacterial SSU rRNA". It matches the Rfam family "Bacterial small subunit ribosomal RNA", at positions 355 to 774 of the family's 1533-position model. The record is from RNAcentral.
UGGGGAAUAUUGCACAAUGGAGGAAACUCUGAUGCAGCGACGCCGCGUGAGUGAAGAAGGUCUUCGGAUCGUAAAACUCUGUCCUUGGUGACGAAAAAAAUGACGGUAGCCAAGGAGGAAGCCCCGGCUAACUACGUGCCAGCAGCCGCGGUAAUACGUAGGGGGCGAGCGUUGUCCGGAUUUACUGGGCGUAAAGGGUGAGUAGGAGGUAAUAUGUGUCAGAUGUAAAAGGCUAUGGCUUAACCAUAGUUGGCAUUUGAAACUGUAUUACUUGAGUGCAGGUGAGGUAAGUGGAAUUCCUAUUGUAGCGGUGAAAUGCGUAGAUAUUAGGGGGAACACCAGUGGCGAAGGCGACUUACUGGACUGUAACUGACGUUGAGUCACGAAAGCGUGGGUAGCAAACA